CUUGACAUCCAGCGAACUUUCCAGAGAUGGAUUGGUGCCUUCGGGAACGCUGAGACAGGUGCUGCAUGGCUGUCGUCAGCUCGUGUUGUGAAAUGUUGGGUUAAGUCCCGNAACGAGCGCAACCCUUAUCCUUUGUUGCCAGCGAUUCGGUCGGGAACUCAAAGGAGACUGCCGGUGAUAAACCGGAGGAAGGUGGGGAUGACGUCAAGUCAUCAUGGCCCUUACGAGUAGGGCUACACACGUGCUACAAUGGCGCAUACAAAGAGAAGCGACCUCGCGAGAGCAAGCGGACCUCAUAAAGUGCGUCGUAGUCCGGAUCGGAGUCUGCAACUCGACUCCGUGAAGUCGGAAUCGCUAGUAAUCGUGGAUCAGAAUGCCACGGUGAAUACGUUCCCGGGCCUUGUACACACCGCCCGUCACACCAUGGGAGUGGGUUGCAAAAGAAGUAGGUAGCUUAACCCUCGGGAGGGCGCUUACCACUUUGUGAUUCAUGACUGGGGUGAAGUCGUAACAAGGUAAGCGUAGCGAG
Molecule: ribosomal RNA, 529 nt
Filed under: uncultured bacterium
Lineage: Bacteria
Description: bacterial SSU rRNA
Rfam family: Bacterial small subunit ribosomal RNA
Source: RNAcentral